GAAGAUAUUGCCCAGCGGCAAAGUACCAGAGAAUUGGGGAAAGAUCCGAGGGUUAAUAUGCAAGUGUGCCACAACACCCGGCCCUGUUUUCAUUGCUUGCCAGCUACAUAUGUUUCCUUUUUGCAACGAAGGCUUCCCGCGAAAACAUACAUGAAUACGCACUGGAGCACAUGUUCCUCGCAUCUCGAGAGGCCUUUUUGGCCUGGGCCGGCUACUACCCCCUCAAGGCAUACAUGCACGAACACAGGGUAUUUUUUUAUUCCAGCAUUCCAAUCGGCGGCCAGCGACGAGCGGCCAGCUACAUUAUUACAUUUUUUGCAUGAAUAGGGGGAUCGAUGCCCUCCGACUCCAACGGACGAUUUGCAUGGACUUGCGUGCGUGGUUGUGCUGGUUACUUCGGGUGUUUGUGUACUACCGCCCUGAAGUAGUUGGUCUGCAGGCCCUAGUUGUCGCUUCGGGGGAGUGCACCCACACCCGGCCCUGUUUUCAUUGCUUGCCAGCUACAUAUGUUCCUUUUUGCAACGAAGGCUUCCCGCGAAAACAUACAUGAAUACGCACUGGAGCACAUGUUCCUCGCAUCUCGAGAGGCCUUUUUGGCCUGGGCCGGCUACUACCCCCUCAAGGCAUACAUGCACGAACACAGGGUAUUUUUUUAUUCCAGCAUUCCAAUCGGCGGCCAGCGACGAGCGGCCAGCUACAUUAUUACAUUUUUUGCAUGAAUGAAUUGCAGGUCCCCAUUUCUUAUGUGUUAUGCUGGUGUGCACUGACGGCAC
This 773-nucleotide long non-coding RNA is filed under the name Volvox carteri. RNAcentral's name for it is "long non-coding RNA (VCAR_LNC004104)". The record is from RNAcentral. Lineage: Eukaryota; Viridiplantae; Chlorophyta; Chlorophyceae; Chlamydomonadales; Volvocaceae.